This 196-nucleotide ribosomal RNA is filed under the name uncultured Nitrosomonas sp. Its description in RNAcentral is "partial 16S ribosomal RNA". It matches the Rfam family "Bacterial small subunit ribosomal RNA", at positions 337 to 525 of the family's 1533-position model. The record is from RNAcentral. Lineage: Bacteria; Pseudomonadati; Pseudomonadota; Betaproteobacteria; Nitrosomonadales; Nitrosomonadaceae.
UCCUACGGGAGGCAGCAGUGGGGAAUUUUGGACAAUGGGCGCAAGCCUGAUCCAGCCAUGCCGCGUGUCUGAAGAAGGCCUUCGGGUUGUAAAGGACUUUUGUUAGGGAGCAAGUCCUGCAGGUUAAGAGCUAGUAGGGAUGAGAGUACCUAAAGAAUAAGCACCGGCUAACUACGUGCCAGCAGCCGCGGUAAUA